RNAcentral lists this ribosomal RNA (809 nucleotides) under uncultured crenarchaeote. RNAcentral's name for it is "bacterial SSU rRNA". It matches the Rfam family "Archaeal small subunit ribosomal RNA", at positions 85 to 866 of the family's 1478-position model. The record is from RNAcentral. Lineage: Archaea; Thermoproteati; Thermoproteota.
ACKGCUCAGUAACACGUGGCUAACUUACCCUCAGGACGGGUACAACCUCGGGAAACUGAGGCUAAUAUCCGAUAGGUGGGGAGACCUGGAAUGGUCCCUCACCCAAAAGGAGCUAGUGGCAUGCUUGCUAGUUUCGCCCGAGGAUAGGGCCGCGCCCGAUCAGGUCGCUGGUGAGGUAACGGCUCACCAGGCCUAUAACCGGUACGGGCCGUGAGAGCGGGAGCCCGGAGAUGGGCACUGAGAUAAGGGCCCAGGCCCUACGGGGCGCAGCAGGCGCGAAAACUCCGCAAUGCGCGAAAGCGUGACGGGGUCACCCCGAGUGCCGUCCGCUGAGGAUGGCUUUUGCCCGGUUUAACCAGCCAGGUGAAUAAGGGGAGGGCAAGUCUGGUGUCAGCCGCCGCGGUAAUACCAGCUCCCCGAGUGGUUGGGACGAUUAUUGGGUCUGAAGCGUCCGUAGCCGGCCGGAAAAGUCCCCCGUUAAAUCUGACGAUCCAAUCGUUGGGCUGCGGGGUAUACUCUUCGGCUUGGGGGCGAGGGAGGUCGGCGGUAGUCCCGGGGUAGGGGCGAAAUCCUAUAAUCCCGGGAGGACCACCAGUGGCGAAGGCGGCCGACUAAAACGCGCCCGACGGUGAGGGACGAAAGCUGGGGGAGCGAACGGGAUUAGAUACCCCGGUAGUCCCAGCUGUAAACGAUGCAGGCUAGGUGUUGGGUCGGCUACGAGCUGUCCCAGUGCCGCAGGGAAGCCAUUAAGCCUGCCACCUGGGAAGUACGGCCGCAAGGCUGAAUUUCUAUUGAGGCUCAGAAAAAUU